Molecule: ribosomal RNA, 425 nt
Filed under: uncultured bacterium
Lineage: Bacteria
Description: partial 16S ribosomal RNA
Rfam family: Bacterial small subunit ribosomal RNA
Source: RNAcentral
GUGGGGAAUCUUAGACAAUGGGGGAAACCCUGAUCUAGCCAUGCCGCGUGAGCGAUGAAGGCCUUAGGGUUGUAAAGCUCUUUCAGCUGGGAAGAUAAUGACUGUACCCACAGAAGAAGCCCCGGCUAACUCCGUGCCAGCAGCCGCGGUAAUACGGAGGGGGCUAGCGUUGUUCGGAAUUACUGGGCGUAAAGCGCACGUAGGCGGAACAGAAAGUCAGAGGUGAAAUCCCAGGGCUCAACCUUGGAACUGCCUUUGAAAUUCCUGUUCUUGAGUUCGAGAGAGGUGAGUGGAAUUCCGAGUGUAGAGGUGAAAUUCGUAGAUAUUCGGAGGAACACCAGUGGCGAAGGCGGCUCACUGGCUCGAUACUGACGCUGAGGUGCGAAAGCGUGGGGAGCAAACAGGAUUAGAAACCCCGGUAGUCC